This 91-nucleotide ribosomal RNA is filed under the name Citrobacter koseri. RNAcentral's name for it is "partial 16S ribosomal RNA". It matches the Rfam family "Bacterial small subunit ribosomal RNA", at positions 1443 to 1533 of the family's 1533-position model. RNAcentral also lists the same sequence under 113 other names. The record is from RNAcentral. Lineage: Bacteria; Pseudomonadati; Pseudomonadota; Gammaproteobacteria; Enterobacterales; Enterobacteriaceae.
CGGGAGGGCGCUUACCACUUUGUGAUUCAUGACUGGGGUGAAGUCGUAACAAGGUAACCGUAGGGGAACCUGCGGUUGGAUCACCUCCUUA